This 1147-nucleotide long non-coding RNA is filed under the name Pavo cristatus (Indian peafowl). RNAcentral describes it as "lncRNA (ENSPSTG00000005494.1)". The record is from RNAcentral. Lineage: Eukaryota; Metazoa; Chordata; Aves; Galliformes; Phasianidae.
GUGAGAAGGCAAGAUGCAAUGAAGGAACAGAACACAGAGAGCUCUGUUCUUCCUUGAGCACAAGAACGUUUCUGACCUACAGGAAGCGUAGCGCAUCACCUGCAGUGAUGCAGUCUGCCCCGCUGAUGAGUUGAGCUCUGCUCUGCUUUGCAGUGGAUAUGCUUUCACUACACUUUUCAGUGAAGGGCAAUAAUGCUCCAGGCUCUCUUCCUCUGCCACCUUUCUUUCCUGGCUGUCCCCAAAAAAGGCUGCAAAUUAGUUUCUGGGGAGAUCCUCAUGUCAACACCUUGCAGUGCUCAACACACUGUGCUUGCCAGGCAGUGCUACUCAAAGGACCUGAGCUGUCAGCAACGAGGGGGCUGUCACUGGAACACCUGAACUUCAGCUGCAGAGUCCAUCACUCUUUGAGCUGGUUUUUGCCAGCCUUGGCUGAAGUUUUUAUAAAGCAGCUUUUAUUAAAACCUACUUGGAAUAUGAAUUUGAAAAAGCAAGGUCUUGUUUUCUCUAGUCUACUGUCCUUCACAGUUCUUUAACAAUCUUUAUAAUGCUUCUCUGCUUUGUCUUGGCAGUUUGCUAGAGCGAUUGAGUUUUCGUAAGUGUCAGAACAAUGUCAAGACGAUGUGAAGACAGUGUCAAGGCAAAUGUGUACAGGUGAUGCUUUGAAGGAGGGAAAGCACUGUCAGUGCUCCACAGUGAAAAUAUUUAGGUGAUAAAACCAUUGCCACUAUGAGCAAAAGCAAGUGGAGAUAUCUAGGUUAUUUUUUGCAAGGAUGCCUUUCCUGCCUAAUUCUUAUCCCAUGUCUUCUAGACCACGUUCCAGUUUCUAAUACCCUAUCAAUAGGACGCCAUUCUGAUCUAAGCGUGUGGUGCGCUAAUUUGUAACAAGCCCGCUUCACCAGAAGUCAGAGAACAGGAAUUCCGAAAGACUCUUUCAGGGUGAGGUGCAAUUCACCUUCAGAGCAGUUUCCAAAUUGAGAACUGAUCUCACAGUGAGCCUGCGAAUUUGCUGUGUGUGUGUGUGUGUGUGUGUGUGUNCAAUUUGGAUCGUUCACAUCUGAGUCCGUGCAUCAGACGCUGCACUUUUUUGGGAAGAAAUAAAAUUCAGCACAUUUACAAGGAGAGGAAAGGAACCUAUUCCUCUGCCCUC